RNAcentral lists this long non-coding RNA (2730 nucleotides) under Chinchilla lanigera (long-tailed chinchilla). Its description in RNAcentral is "lncRNA (ENSCLAG00000027977.1)". Lineage: Eukaryota; Metazoa; Chordata; Mammalia; Rodentia; Chinchillidae. The record is from RNAcentral.
GCGCGGGGGCGGAGUGCGCAGCGCAGAUGCGGCCGGCCCGCGGGGCUCGCCUGCCUGCCCCUUUCCCCGCAGUUCCCCGCGACCCCUCCAAAGCCCCCGAUUGAAAUCAUCGUUGUGGUUGCUAUGCGGUCAGCUAGGGUUGCUAUGGAAGCACUCCUAAACUUAUCCUUCCGCAAACUGGUUGCCCUAAACUCUUCAUCAGGGGAGAUUCUGGAGCAGCCGCUGUUAGAACGGAUAACCACCAUCAUCGGCUCCGUGUCGAUUUAUCGAGCUGUUACUCAACUGUUAGACACACGGCCAAUCGCACACUGCCGCGUUCUGGAGCCGAGUGUCUCGGACUAGGCUCAGCAAAGUUGGGCAACUAACAAGAUGAUAUAGCCAAGAGAUAACAGAGUUUUCCAGGAAUUUCCUGAGUGUCACACUGUAAAUUCUGCCUCAACUUGGAUUUAAAUCAAUUAUCAUCUUGCCUAAGGUGGUGGUGCCCGCCUGUAAUCCCAGCACAUGGGAGGCCGAGGCAGGAGGAUCACGGCAAGGUUGAGAGCAGCCUGGGCUACAGCGUGAGUUCAAGGCCAGCCUGCACUAUCCAGGGAGAUCCUGUCUCAGAAACCACUGUUACUUCAUCGUUUUGUGAGAAAAGCCUUCCUAAGACCAUUUUAAUUAAAUUGGGUGGCCAUCGUUUUCUGUCCUUUUGAUCUUUAGUUUUUUUCGUAGCGCUCACCAGCAGUUGGUAUGGUACAUGUCUGCUUUUACUUUUUAAUCAUCUUCUCCUCAAACACCUAGCUGAGAACAGGGAUUUUUUUUCUUUAUGUUUGCUGCAUCCUCAACCCUUAGAACAAUGCCUGCACAUAGUAGGUACUCAGUAAAAAGGCAUUGAAUAACUAGAUACAUCUUUAUGUGAUCUGUAGAACUAUAUUGGCAGUCAGAUUUUGGCAAUAGUCAAGGACAGUCCCAGAGAUUAUAAGUAUGAUUUCACCACAGCAUACAUCAGCACUUUCCAGAUGUCACAAGUUUCUCCCACCUUUAUUCUCUUUAGUAACUCACCAAAAAUUUCUUGCUCUUAGGUACAAUUCAGUGUGGCUGCUUUUCUUGACUUAAAAACCUGUAUGAAUGAAAGGGGGUGGGAAGCGAGUCUUACAUUCAGUGAAAGAAAAACUGGACAAGAAAAGAGCAAAUCCUCUUGGUAUGCACACCUCUCUAGUGCUGGAUUUAAAUCCUCUCACUACAUAGUCUUUACCUAAUCCCUUCAUAUCUGUGUAAGUCAGGGUUUUACUACAGAAACAGAUAUAAUACAAGAUGUAGAAAUGCAUAGGAAUUUACAAGACUGGCUUACGACGGUCAGUCACAGAGUUGGGCAAGGAAACGUGCAGAAAGUGUCUGCACACUGCAGAUCGAAGGAUUCUGUCAGAGGUCUGGAGUUCAGUGCAAGUCUGUAUCAGGAGGCUGACGGGUCUGCAACAGGAGGCUGAGGGAUCCAAAGCGGAAGCCGAAGCGUCUUCUAGAAGCCAGGCGAGGGCCGGCGAUAUGGCUCAGUGGCACAAGAGCCUGCCUGGCAAGUGGGAGGUCCUGAGUUCGAUUCCUGGUACCCCCCCCCACAAAAAAAAAUAGAAGCCAGGCAGUAGCUUCCAAGCUGAAGGCGAAGACUGGAGGUCCUCUGAAGAGCAGAGACCCUGUCUGUUCCUCCUUGGUUCCCUUUUCUACCAUCCAGGCGAUGCUCCACCCUAGGGCGGGUCCUCUACAACCUAGGGCGCAGAAUUGCUGAGCUGAUCUAGUUAAGCUUCUAAACUUCCCAGGUUGACACAAUCAAUCAACCACUACGCUAUCCUAAAUGGGUAAUUUCCUUAGCUCGUACAUAAGUGGGCACCAGGGGCAGGGAGAGUGGAUCAGAACCCAAUCAGAGCAUAUGUCACUGGAAGAAUAUACUGAAUUAUAAUUUGGUUCAAGAAUCUUCUCAGCCUAAGGCCCUUGACCAAGCUGAGUUCAUCCUGGAUAUUUUUCUUUAUGGAGACCCUACUAUCAGAUCAAACAAGUCAAAAUACACUCACAAUCAUAAUGGCAGUGCUAGGGGAUUUAAAUGGAUUUGUUUGAUGAUAACGAUGAUGAUGAUUUAGUCUCACUGGGGAUGAAAUCUGACUUAGUUACUUUUCUCUUUGCCGAGACAAAAUACUCAACACCCAGAGUUAAAGAAGGAAAGGUUUGUUUUGGCUUUCAUUUGUAGAGGUUUCGGUCCAUAUAAGUUGGCUCCAAGGCAGGGUGGCAUAGCAGAGGGGCAUGGCAGAGGAGAAGCAGUUUAUGGCAGGCAGAGGCAGAAAGGUAGCAGCAGCAAUCACAGCCAUGCCUGCCUUCAUAUUUCAUCCAGGACAUCCGUCCUUUUGGCCGUGUUACCCAUAUUCAGGGUAACGUGGAUAUGUUAAUCCCAGCAUCACAUACCCUAUAGCAGCCACCACUGAAAAACCCCACCGAUGACUGCCUGAGCCUUCGGGAGACAUCUAGACCUAGGCAUAACAUUCUGCACCCAGCCCUCAAAAGACUCAGUGCAUCCUUUUACGCAAAAGGCAUUUAGUCCGUCUCUAAGAUUUGCUGAAGUCCUAACAGUUUCACCAUCGCUGAAAAGUCCAAGUCCAAAGUCUCUCCUGAGAUUUUUUUUUUUUUUUUUUUUGGUUUUUCUCCGGUACCGGGAACCGAACUCACAACCUUGCGCUUGCCAGGCAGGCGCUUUGCCGCUGAGCUAAA